GACGAACGCUGGCGGCGUGCUUAACACAUGCAAGUCGAACGGAAAGGCCCUGCUUUUGUGGGGUGCUCGAGUGGCGAACGGGUGAGUAACACGUGAGUAACCUGCCCUUGACUUUGGGAUAACUUCAGGAAACUGGGGCUAAUACCGGAUAGGAGCUCCUGCUGCAUGGUGGGGUUGGAAAGUUUCGGCGGUUGGGGAUAGACUCGCGGCUUAUCAGCUUGUUGGUGGGGUAGUGGCUUACCAAGGCUUUGACGGGUAGCCGGCCUGAGAGGGUGACCGGCCACAUUGGGACUGAGAUACGGCCCAGACUCCUACGGGAGGCAGCAGUGGGGAAUAUUGCACAAUGGGCGGAAGCCUGAUGCAGCAACGCCGCGUGCGGGAUGACGGCCUUCGGGUUGUAAACCGCUUUCGCCUGUGACGAAGCGUGAGUGACGGUAAUGGGUAAAGAAGCACCGGCUAACUACGUG
This 467-nucleotide ribosomal RNA is filed under the name uncultured bacterium. RNAcentral describes it as "partial 16S ribosomal RNA". It matches the Rfam family "Bacterial small subunit ribosomal RNA", at positions 28 to 507 of the family's 1533-position model. The record is from RNAcentral.